GGGAGUGGGUACGUAUACUCGUAUACUCCCAAAAUCGAAAAACAUCUUACCAUGCUCUUGGUGUUUUCGACUUAUCAAAUCAUCCUCACCCGUAAAAUCGGUGCGAGAUUUUCGGAAAUCAAUCAGCCGUUUAGGAGAAGCAACCUUUAGCAUCGCGGGACGUCGCAAAAGAUGCCUCAAAGGUUAUUUUUUCCGAACAAAUGAAACCUCUGUCACAAAAAUGACAUAUAUGCACACAUUAACACAUAUUUUACGCAAAACUCGAAACAACGGCAUUCGCCACCAAGUCUGAUGCUGAUCACAUCGAACUCACAAACGUCCUAAACAGACAUAGCCAUCUCACGAAGAUGACUCUCUUAAAUCCGACACAAGGAUAAUAGCGCUAUAAAAGAAAUCCGAUGGUCCAGCACUUCCGGUCUCCGGAGAGAUGCUCGAUUCAUAUCAAACAAGUCGUAUAAGCCGAGAACCUAUCGCGGACUUUAAAUCGAUACGAAUCAGGAAGAAAUCGCAACAGAAAAAACGAUAGCCGGCUAGUCACCACACAAGCCUUAAACCGAAAGUAAACCUAGGUCUUGCCCUAAACCCAGCGCACUGGUCUCUAACAUCUCAAGGCAUGAUAUCGAAAGAUACGAGAUUCCUAAACCAUGCCUCUAUGUUUAUAUUUGACAUCUUCAGCGCCCCCGCGAAGCUCACAUCUCGCGGAAGAGCUCUCGAAACAGAUCUCGAAUGAAACAUUUCACAAUCGAAGAAGGAUAUGAGACGACAACUCAUCACCUUUCCUUCCCACUAUACACUAACUCAUAAAAAAAAAGUGCCAUUUGAUUAUCUUAUCAUAAAAAGCCGCAAAGCGGGAGGGAUUCAAAGCCACACGUGGCCAGUCCCGAAACACAAAAUAAGGCCGUUUAAGGCCGAAACAUAAAAACAUAAAAACAAAUCUCUCGCAAGAGAUCUAACCCAAGUCAUCCUCAGAACUCACGCUCCCUCUUCACCCGUCGCCUCGUCCGAGCCUGGAGCCGCGUCACCUCCGUUUUCUCCGACCAUCGGAUCUUUCCCCUCUGGGUCUUCU
Molecule: long non-coding RNA, 1066 nt
Filed under: Brassica napus (rape)
Lineage: Eukaryota; Viridiplantae; Streptophyta; Magnoliopsida; Brassicales; Brassicaceae
Description: long non-coding RNA (BNAP_LNC008814)
Source: RNAcentral